ACGAACGCUGGCGGCAUGCCUAACACAUGCAAGUCGAACGAGACCUUCGGGUCUAGUGGCGCACGGGUGCGUGACGCGUGGGAAUCUGCCCUUGGGUUCGGAAUAACUUCGGGAAACUGAAGCUAAUACCGGAUGAUGACGUAAGUCCAAAGAUUUAUCGCCCAAGGAUGAGCCCGCGUAGGAUUAGCUAGUUGGUGAGGUAAAGGCUCACCAAGGCGACGAUCCUUAGCUGGUCUGAGAGGAUGAUCAGCCACACUGGGACUGAGGCUCGGCCCAGACUCCUACGGGAGGCAGCAGUGGGGAAUAUUGGACAAUGGGCGAAAGCCUGAUCCAGCAAUGCCGCGUGAGUGAUGAAGGCCUUAGGGUUGUAAAGCUCUUUUACCCGGGAUGAUAAUGACAGUACCGGGAGAAUAAGCUCCGGCUAACUCCGUG
This 432-nucleotide ribosomal RNA is filed under the name uncultured bacterium. Its description in RNAcentral is "bacterial SSU rRNA". It matches the Rfam family "Bacterial small subunit ribosomal RNA", at positions 29 to 507 of the family's 1533-position model. The record is from RNAcentral.